CCCUCCGCCGCCUCCCAUUGGUCGGUCGCUGCCAGCGCCGCGGCAUGACGUAAGAUCGGCGGCGUGCGAUUGGCCCGUGGCUGUGUCGAUCGCCCGACGUCACUUCCUGUCCAGCAAGGUCCCGCCCUGUUACUGUUGUUGUCGUGGACCCGGGGGGGAGAGAGACCGCGUUUCCAAUGGGAGACGAGUCGGUGCUUGUGAGCCCGCCGCUGGGUUGGAAACCGAUGGAAGAAAGGUGCAUAAGCAGGGACAUUCGACCGGUCGCCUGCCCGCUGCAGAAAGUGGACACAACACCUCCCAUCAGAAGGCAACGAUUGCGUGGUGCGUUACUUUGGAGCUCCCUCUGCACUUAAUCAGAAAUUCUUGAUACAUGGAAGAGUUUUAUUAAUACGCAGUAUAUUGAGUCUCCAUUACACAGUAAAAAAACCGACAACCGUUUAGUUAUUUUCGCACAGUGAUGUCCAAUAACGACCGGAAUGGAAGCCUGUCUUGCCUGGGGCGUAGCUGGAUCGGGGAUUUUAUAAACGGCCCCGAAAUAUGGCGACUGUCAUUUGUGGUUAUAUAAAAGAAUAUUACUGUGCAUACGUGACAAUAAAGAACCAUUGAAC
This is a long non-coding RNA of Leucoraja erinaceus (little skate), 608 nucleotides long. RefSeq lists it as uncharacterized. NCBI's taxonomy places the organism in Eukaryota, Metazoa, Chordata, Chondrichthyes, Rajiformes, Rajidae. The transcript is spliced from 2 exons. The record is from RefSeq and is a predicted model, not a curated record.